This 75-nucleotide transfer RNA is filed under the name Cephaloticoccus primus. RNAcentral's name for it is "tRNA-Asn". It matches the Rfam family "tRNA". Rfam says of the family: Transfer RNA (tRNA) molecules are approximately 80 nucleotides in length. Their secondary structure includes four short double-helical elements and three loops (D, anti-codon, and T loops). The record is from RNAcentral. Lineage: Bacteria; Pseudomonadati; Verrucomicrobiota; Opitutia; Opitutales; Opitutaceae.
UGUCCGGUAGCUCAGUGGCAGAGCAGGUGACUGUUAAUCACUUGGUCGCUGGUUCGAUCCCAGCCCGGACAGCCA